RNAcentral lists this ribosomal RNA (911 nucleotides) under Pseudoseptoria donacis. RNAcentral describes it as "LSU rRNA". It matches the Rfam family "Eukaryotic large subunit ribosomal RNA", at positions 38 to 965 of the family's 3401-position model. The record is from RNAcentral. Lineage: Eukaryota; Fungi; Ascomycota; Dothideomycetes; Dothideales; Dothioraceae.
GCAUAUCAUAAGCGGAGGAAAAGAAACCAACAGGGAUUGCCCUAGUAACGGCGAGUGAAGCGGCAAUAGCUCAAAUUUGAAAGCUGGCCUUCUGGGUCCGCGUUGUAAUUUGUAGAGGAUGCUUUGGGGCAGCCGCCUGUCUAAGUUCCUUGGAACAGGACGUCAUAGAGGGUGAGAAUCCCGUAUGUGACAGGACAUGGCACCCUAUGUAAAGCUCCUUCGACGAGUCGAGUUGUUUGGGAAUGCAGCUCUAAAUGGGAGGUAAAUUUCUUCUAAAGCUAAAUACUGGCGAGAGACCGAUAGCGCACAAGUAGAGUGAUCGAAAGAUGAAAAGCACUUUGGAAAGAGAGUUAAAAAGCACGUGAAAUUGUUGAAAGGGAAGCGCUUGCAAUCAGACUUGUCGUGGGGUGUUCAGCCGGUCUUCUGACCGGUCUACUCGCCCCGGGACAGGCCAGCAUCAGUUUCGGCGGCCGGAUAAAGGCAUCGGGAAUGUGGCCUACACUUCGGUGUCGGUGUUAUAGCCCGGUGUGUAAUACGGCCAGCCGGGACUGAGGUCCGCGCUUCGGCUAGGAUGCUGGCGUAAUGGUUGUAAGCGACCCGUCUUGAAACACGGACCAAGGAGUCUAACAUCUAUGCGAGUGUUCGGGUGUCAAACCCCUGCGCGUAAUUAAAGUGAACGGAGGUGGGAACCGCAAGGUGCACCAUCGACCGAUCCUGAUGUCUUCGGAUGGAUUUGAGUAAGAGCAUAGCUGUUGGGACCCGAAAGAUGGUGAACUAUGCCUGAAUAGGGUGAAGCCAGAGGAAACUCUGGUGGAGGCUCGCAGCGGUUCUGACGUGCAAAUCGAUCGUCAAAUUUGGGUAUAGGGGCGAAAGACUAAUCGAAACCAUCUAGUAGCUGGGUUCCUGCCGAA